GACGAACGCUGGCGGCGUGCUUAACACAUGCAAGUCGAACGGAAAGGCCCUGCUUUUGUGGGGUGCUCGAGUGGCGAACGGGUGAGUAACACGUGAGUAACCUGCCCUUGACUUUGGGAUAACUUCAGGAAACUGGGGCUAAUACCGGAUAGGAGCUCCUGCUGCAUGGUGGGGGUUGGAAAGUUUCGGCGGUUGGGGAUGGACUCGCGGCUUAUCAGCUUGUUGGUGGGGUAGUGGCUUACCAAGGCUUUGACGGGUAGCCGGCCUGAGAGGGUGACCGGCGACAUUGGGACUGAGAUACGGCCCAGACUCCUACGGGAGGCAGCAGUGGGGAAUAUUGCAAAAUGGGCGGAAGCCUGAUGCAGCAACGCCGCGUGCGGGAUGACGGCCUUCGGGUUGUAAACCGCUUUCGCCUGUGACGAAGCGAGAGUGACGGUAAUGGGUAAAGAAGCACCGGCUAACUACGUG
Molecule: ribosomal RNA, 468 nt
Filed under: uncultured bacterium
Lineage: Bacteria
Description: partial 16S ribosomal RNA
Rfam family: Bacterial small subunit ribosomal RNA
Source: RNAcentral